UGCUAAUACCUUCUCAUUGCAUAACCCACUUCCUUACCCGUUUCUCUUGUUUGGUUCGAGAUUCUUGCGAAAAUGAGACUAACUGCUUCGAUCUGCCAUUUGUAAAGAAGACUCGCCACUUUUCUCGAGUGUUUGCUGUUUUGUGUAGUAUUUUCACGCCCAAACGUUAAGCAGUAACGUUAUAAAUAGGGAUUCGUAUUCCCUUCUUUUUCAUCAUCUCUUAUUCUCUCUCUCUCUCUCUCUCUCUCUCUGCUUUUUUGUUUGAGUUCUAGCUUAUUAUUACUAGUUUCAUCCUAUUACGGCUCCAUCAAAU
Molecule: long non-coding RNA, 313 nt
Filed under: Lathyrus oleraceus (garden pea)
Lineage: Eukaryota; Viridiplantae; Streptophyta; Magnoliopsida; Fabales; Fabaceae
Description: Pisum sativum (pea) long non-coding RNA (PSAT_LNC019223)
Source: RNAcentral